GUCGAGGCUGCAGGUAUUAUCCAGCAUUACGGUUUAGAGGAGCCUCGCUUGGGAGUAGCCCUCGCAGGCGAUUCGGAAAUCAGUCCUAGAAGAGACUAGAGAGGUGAAAUGUAAAACCUGAAUGGGGAUUGAGGAAGGAAAGCCACUGGCUAAACCUCCACGGGAGCAGCUUUUUGCACGCAGAAACGCUGGGAAUAUUUUGAUCCAACAAACAGAGGCGCCUGUGGUCCGUUGUGCGCUGACGUUUCUCUUCCCGUGUGAACGUAUUUCCUGUGACACUUGGCUGAAGUUUAGAAAAGUUCUUCACAAAUAAAGUUAGUAGCUACUGUGCAACUAACGCCCGUUUUCUCUGGUUCAAUUUGCCCCCACAGCACCCACUGACGCCAAAAUGUGACCACACUGGUUAAUUGCCAAUUAGUGCGUUAUUUUCAUUAUCCGUCUGUUCCAAUAAGGAGCGCAAAUAAACAAAGCUGGUGCUACGUCAUGUACGGCGGUGAGAGAGAGAGAGAAAAGGACCGGAUGAGAGAAAGAAAGAAAAAGGUGUUGACUGUAAAAGGUAAGAGGGGAAGAGAAAGAAGGCACGAAAGAUAGGGUCUUGUUUUAUUUUUUGCUCCCUCGUUGACCCCGGUUUGGCAGAGGCUGGGCAGAAAAGGCAGCACACCCCUCCCUGGCAAGCACAGGAGAGCCUCGUGCGCCUGCUGCUCCAUCCUGGAUUAAUCUCACAAUACACUGAACGGGACAGCGCAAAUAACGGCGCUGAGAGCGGGGUCCAGUCCACACACUCACCGAUCGAGCUUGAGACUGGAUGUGGCACUGGUUCCCUGCGGUAUCUGGUCACGUUCGUCCAGCGUCGGGAUGGAGAUGCAGCCGCUGCUUCUUUUGCAUUCUUGCUCGCCGAGCACCGUCUGUGCCUUUGCAGAGCAGCUGUGUGAUGCUGUCGGGACGGGGCGCACAAUCCACUCCGUCCCACGCCGGCCACGCCAGGGCACCAAGACUCUGCACUGUAAAAACCACCGAUCCAAAGCACUUUAAUGCAGCGAUCAUCAGAGACAGGCUGAAUAUAAAGAAACGGUCUAACACCGAGUGGCACACUGGGUUUUUUGCAGCCUACAACAUCCGCGUGGCCUCUGAGCUGCAACAUAACAUUUUGCCUCGCAGUUGGCUGCGGCUGCACGGAGCAUCCAGCGUCCAUGCCUUUUUGUAAUUGCCCCGUGAACACGGUGGUUUUCAUUCUUUUGACCCCUCUAUGAACAGCACGCCGCCGCCCUCGCUGCCCCCCCCCCCCCCCCCACCCCGUCCGAGCAGCCCCACACAAUACUGCGUGCGCGCGCGCGCUCUGCGGUAUGUGGGCUAAAUGUCGUGCAGAGGUAAUGGGAAGUAGUCGGAAGGUGAGGUCGCGGGUUCAAGGCGGGGUUAAAGAGACCCGUCCGCGGCUCCUGUUUGCUUUUUUACCACAACUCCGCUUCCUUCCUACAGAAGGAUGUGGCCGCUGUGCCACCGCGCUCACCCCGCAGCAACCCCGUCACCGCGCGGGCCGUGUUUGUUUUUCUGCGUUUAUUAAAUGUUCCCCCGACAGGAAAACGAGCGGCAUCACCGCGUCACUGGGCGCUGGUGAGUUUAGCACUUCGCAUCCCUCCUCGCCUCCCUGAGUCCGUCUAUUUAUAUCCUCACAUGUGGGCUGACUGUUCAAGGCUGCUGCUGUUUACACAACUUUUUAAAGCCUUUUCAAGGACUUUAUAUUCCAUUUAAUUAUAGCUGGCGUCUUAUCAGUUGUACAGCAACGCAGAUACAAAACUCAGCUGUUUCCACUUGUUUUUCUAGCACAAUUAUCUAAAUGCUGUAACCGAACUAAUAACCAUCCAUUAGGAGCAAUUUUCUUGCACUUUUUGCAGCUACACUUUAAAUUUACAUACACAUUACAUACAGUACGUUACUGAAAGGAAAAUGGACCCAGAUGUUCAUUUUUACUACAGAUUAUUAUUAUCUUAUUAAGGAUGACUGGCUGCAGGUCAGCUGGGUUAUCCACCAUUUUAAUUGCCACUGCACUAUUGCUCUGGCCUUUAGCCAUUUUAGCUUUACUCAGUAACAAAGGAUGAAUUAAAGAAAUUAAAUCUGUUUCCUGUGAUGUAGAUUGUUUUUUUAAAAGUUUGAAGAAUAGUGGAAUAGUACUAAUUAAAGAGCAGGAUGCUCAUAGGCCAAAACGCCUUUUUUCUUUAGUUAUUGUGUUUUGUUUAAUUUUAUGCAGAUGGUUAAAACUACACUGGUUUUACUUUAUAGCUCGUUUUUGUAUAUUAAUUAAUCAGAGGACGUUUAUAAAGUGAAAUGUGUUUUCAAAAAGUGGUGAGGAUUUGACUUGAGUUUCUGUGAGAAGAAUUUAAUAAGCAAUAAAAUUCAUUUUAAAAAUAUAUUUGUUGUCA
Long non-coding RNA from Betta splendens (Siamese fighting fish), 2417 nucleotides. NCBI's taxonomy places the organism in Eukaryota, Metazoa, Chordata, Actinopteri, Anabantiformes, Osphronemidae. The record is from Ensembl.